AACGGCCAUACCAUGGCGGAUAUAACGGUUCUCGUUAGAUCACCGAAGUCAAACAUUAUUGGGCACGGUCAGUACUUGGGUGGGUGACCACCUGGGAACACUGCGUGCCGUU
This 112-nucleotide ribosomal RNA is filed under the name Caerostris extrusa. Lineage: Eukaryota; Metazoa; Arthropoda; Arachnida; Araneae; Araneidae. The record is from RNAcentral.